UAAAAGAAUCCUUUCUUUUUUCUUUGUUGAAACUUUCAUCGCUCUUUCUUUAAGUCAAAAUACAUCCUUUCUCGGUUCUAUUUCUUUGCUUCAUUUCCAUUAUCCUUUCAGCGAGUUUAGAGAUGGAGAAUGGGGGACUUCGGUGAGGGUAUUGUUCGAUGUAGGAUGUUAGAGGACGAUGGAAGGUUGAUCCUAGUCAAAAGUCAGGUAGCGAGUGUGUGACGGAGAGGGUUACGGGUGAUAGAAGGAAACUGAAGGGUUGGUUUGGAUCAAGGGUAUGUUAAAAUGGAGGGCAGGCUUGCUUGUGGCUUAGCUGAAAGUGUUGGGAGGAUGGUGCAAUUAAUGGCGGCUUCAAGCAAAGAUGGAAGGUGUCGUAUGGAUUCAAAGGUGAAGGGAGGCUUUGGUUAGUGAUAGAAAACACAACUCAAACAAGAAUUACAAGAUAAACACGUUGUUUAUAAGCAGCUUAUUUACUUACAACAAAAGCUGUUGAAAAAUAGCUGUUUUAUGGUAAGCAAUUGCAGGAAUAGUUUAAAUUGUUGCAUGGACCCUUGGAUGUUGCAUUUCCAAGAAUUUCAACAAAGUCAACUAGCUCAAGAGGGAGAAUAGACACCCAACUUCGACCGUAACCGAAAGAGGCAGCUGAAAAUGGUUUGGUAAGAAUGUGAUUCACCUGAACAGAUCCAUCCUGAUCAGACUUCUGGUGGGUGUCAGGGAUGAAUUUGAGCUAGAGGGUAGGUGCACAUGUUGGCCAAAUUGAAAACAUAAUUUAUUAAAUUGCAUACGCUGAGAAAUAUAAAAUUUGUCAUUGCUAUUAAGACACUUAUAGUCAUGAUAAGAAGAACUGUACCCAAGAAAUGUGCAAUGCUAUGACCGAAAGGUAAAUUUGUGUUGAUUAAAGGUAUGUGUCAGAAGAAAACAUUGGCGCCGCAAAGACAGGGAAAAUUAUAGUUUGGCUUGCUGUCAAAGAGCUUAUCAUAGGGGGAAUUUCCAUCAAGAAUCUUCAUGGCAACCUAUUAAUGAGCUCCAUGGUUUGAAGUCAUAAGCCUCUUUGAUAGUCAAUCUCAGCUCAGCCCACCACUGAUAGGGAAGAAGACGAACGAUGAAUCCAACGCAAGCGAGAGCGGCUGAAUAAUUUAAAGCUCGGAGUCUA
Gossypium raimondii (Peruvian cotton) is the source of this 1153-nucleotide long non-coding RNA. RefSeq lists it as uncharacterized. The record is from RefSeq and is a predicted model, not a curated record. The transcript is spliced from 3 exons. NCBI's taxonomy places the organism in Eukaryota, Viridiplantae, Streptophyta, Magnoliopsida, Malvales, Malvaceae.